AGACCCGAAACCCGGUGAUCUAGCCAUGGGCAGGUUGAAGGUUGGGUAACACUAACUGGAGGACCGAACCGACUAAUGUUGAAAAAUUAGCGGAUGACCUGUGGCUGGGGGUGAAAGGCCAAUCAAACCGGGAGAUAGCUGGUUCUCCCCGAAAGCUAUUUAGGUAGCGCCUCGUGAAUUCAUCUCCGGGGGUAGAGCACUGUUUCGGCUAGGGGGCCAUCCCGGCUUACCAACCCGAUGCAAACUGCGAAUACCGGAGAAUGUUAUCACGGGAGACACACGGCGGGUGCUAACGUCCGUCGUGAAGAGGGAAACAACCCAGACCGCCAGCUAAGGUCCCAAAGUCAUGGUUAAGUGGGAAACGAUGUGGGAAGGCCCAGACAGCCAGGAUGUUGGCUUAGAAGCAGCCAUCAUUUAAAGAAAGCGUAAUAGCUCACUGGUCGAGUCGGCCUGCGCGGAAGAUGUAACGGGGCUAAACCAUGCACCGAAGCUGCGGCAGCGAACGUAUCACUUAAAGCGAUUCAGCGGGUUACGAUUGACGGAGCGAAGCGACGUCAAAGCGUAUACAAAGUCGAGUCGGUUUAAGGAUACGUUCGUUGGGUAGGGGAGCGUUCUGUAAGCCUGUGAAGGUGUGUCGUGAGGCAUGCUGGAGGUAUCAGAAGUGCGAAUGCUGACAUAAGUAACGAUAAAGCGGGUGAAAAGCCCGCUCGCCGGAAGACCAAGGGUUCCUGUCCAACGUUAAUCGGGGCAGGGUGAGUCGACCCCUAAGGCGAGGCCGAAAGGCGUAGUCGAUGGGAAACGGGUUAAUAUUCCCGUACUUGGUGUUACUGCGAAGGGGGGACGGAGAAGGCUAUGUUGGCCGGGCGACGGUUGUCCCGGUUUAAGCGUGUAGGUGUGUGUUCCAGGUAAAUCCGGUUCACUUUAACACUGAGGCGUGAU
Molecule: ribosomal RNA, 939 nt
Filed under: Salmonella enterica subsp. enterica serovar Infantis
Lineage: Bacteria; Pseudomonadati; Pseudomonadota; Gammaproteobacteria; Enterobacterales; Enterobacteriaceae
Description: partial 23S ribosomal RNA
Rfam family: Bacterial large subunit ribosomal RNA
Source: RNAcentral